Molecule: ribosomal RNA, 522 nt
Filed under: Aquabacterium sp. TW_R2A_DR11
Lineage: Bacteria; Pseudomonadati; Pseudomonadota; Betaproteobacteria; Burkholderiales; Sphaerotilaceae
Description: bacterial SSU rRNA
Rfam family: Bacterial small subunit ribosomal RNA
Source: RNAcentral
UCGGAACGUGCCCAGUAGUGGGGGAUAGCCCGGCGAAAGCCGGAUUAAUACCGCAUGAGACCUGAGGGUGAAAGGGGGGGAUCGCAAGACCUCUCGCUAUUGGAGCGGCCGAUAUCAGAUUAGCUAGUUGGUGGGGUAAAGGCCUACCAAGGCAACGAUCUGUAGUUGGUCUGAGAGGACGACCAGCCACACUGGGACUGAGACACGGCCCAGACUCCUACGGGAGGCAGCAGUGGGGAAUUUUGGACAAUGGGCGCAAGCCUGAUCCAGCAAUGCCGCGUGCAGGAAGAAGGCCUUCGGGUUGUAAACUGCUUUUGUCAGGGAAGAAAUCUUCUGGGUUAAUACCUCGGGAGGAUGACGGUACCUGAAGAAUAAGCACCGGCUAACUACGUGCCAGCAGCCGCGGUAAUACGUAGGGUGCGAGCGUUAAUCGGAAUUACUGGGCGUAAAGCGUGCGCAGGCGGCUUUGCAAGACAGAGGUGAAAUCCCCGGGCUCAACCUGGGAACUGCCUUUGUGACUGC